Molecule: ribosomal RNA, 186 nt
Filed under: Triticum aestivum (bread wheat)
Lineage: Eukaryota; Viridiplantae; Streptophyta; Magnoliopsida; Poales; Poaceae
Description: partial small subunit ribosomal RNA
Source: RNAcentral
GGCGCUGCCGUGGGCAUCUACUUCCUCUGGCCUGCUGGGGCGGUGGCCGCCGGCGCCACGAUGAAGGCGCCAGGCGCGACCGGCUUCUUCAUCUCCCGCGCGGCAUUCGUGGCGAAUCCGCAGCUGUAUUUUCAGAUACUGCGCACUGCCGGCGCCGCGGCGGCGGCCGCCGCCUUCGCUCUGUAA